This 76-nucleotide transfer RNA is filed under the name Thermotoga sp. Its description in RNAcentral is "tRNA-Glu". It matches the Rfam family "tRNA". From Rfam's summary of the family: Transfer RNA (tRNA) molecules are approximately 80 nucleotides in length. Their secondary structure includes four short double-helical elements and three loops (D, anti-codon, and T loops). Further hydrogen bonds mediate the characteristic L-shaped molecular structure. tRNAs have two regions of fundamental functional importance: the anti-codon, which is responsible for specific mRNA codon recognition, and the 3' end, to which the tRNAs corresponding amino acid is attached (by aminoacyl-tRNA synthetases). tRNAs cope with the degeneracy of the genetic code in two manners: having more than one tRNA (with a specific anti-codon) for a particular amino acid; and 'wobble' base-pairing, i.e. permitting non-standard base-pairing at the 3rd anti-codon position. The record is from RNAcentral. Lineage: Bacteria; Thermotogati; Thermotogota; Thermotogae; Thermotogales; Thermotogaceae.
GCCCUCAUCGUCUAGGGGUCAAGGACACCGCCCUUUCACGGCGGUAACUGGAGUUCGAAUCUCCGUGAGGGCGCCU